Sus scrofa (pig) is the source of this 583-nucleotide non-coding RNA. The record is from RefSeq and is a predicted model, not a curated record. Lineage: Eukaryota; Metazoa; Chordata; Mammalia; Artiodactyla; Suidae.
AAAAGAGCUUGGGGUUUUUCACACCGCUGCAGAUGACACUUUCCUACCGACUCUGGAAUUCUCUUGCUCAUUCUCCGGGUUGUUUCUGGGUGUUCGUCAUGGCAGUGAAAGGAAACACCAGGAUUUCCCUAGAAAGCCAUCCCGUUCACCUGAUCGGUGGCAUGGAGGACAUUCACAUCCUCCUUGAGUUUCGCAUUUGAAAGUGAGGGGCGGGUGCGUGCAGCAGGUCCCCCACCCCCACCCCACCCCGCGCCCCGAACGUGCCUCCCGCAGUGGCACUAGGAGUGUGUGCAAUGAAAGGGACAGGACACCAGACACCAGAGGACCAUUCUGACCCUCCUUUCCUUCUCUCUUCAGAAAGCAGGAAAUAAAUCUCUUGGGUGAAAGAAAAGUGUGCUCCCUGCCACGAAAUUUGGGGGGGGGGGGUGUCGGGUUGGCGAUAAGGACUUCACUGCUCCCAUGGCUCCUGCAAUGUUCACGAAUCCUCCAAAUCCUCAAGGCAAGAUGGUUCACAACCAAUACAUGAGCGAGCUGUCAGAGACACCAGGGACUGAAACACUCCGUAUUAGGGAGGGGUCCUCAC